AUAUUUGACGAAAAAUAAAAGUAAAUAGUGGGGGUUUAAAAUUCCGUCAUCUAGAAAGAGAAAAAUUCAAAUUAAUAGCCAGAGUUUAAACCCCCGCUAUUUGUAAAUAUAAUUUUUAUUUUAAUUAGGUUUAUUUUGUUGUAAUCUUGCUGUACUUUUCAUGGUUUAGCUGUCCAUGUUGGUAUUUGCCAAAUAAUGAACUGAAAUUCUCAAACUCUUUAGUGACUUCAUUUGGCCAAAAAAAUUGUUUAGUGAGGAUGUAGAAGUCGUAGUAGAAACAUCUUAUUGCAAAAUGUAUGAUUGUUGGUUAUUUGAUUUACGCUACCAUUUCCUGUUAAAUUGUGAUUCAAUCUGUUUCAUUAGCAUGCAAUAGUAUUCAAUGCUAUAAGUUAAGUUCUAUUGUGACAUUUUUCAUGUGAUUUUUUUAGGUAUGGAUUGCAUAUAAGGAAGCAAGUUGGUUAUGCUUCAAAACUAUUUGUAUUCAUAUCACCAUCAACCUCUAUUAUUUGUUUUCUCUUAUAUUACAAAUCUGAUUAUUCUAAUGGCUACAAAUUCAACUGUUUUCAUCGUACUUAUUGUAAGUAAACAUACAUUGAGAUUUGCAGCAUCUUCUUGAGAUAUGUCUGUUUCUUUUUUGCUUCUUGUAGGAAUACUAUGACGUUCUUGAUGAAUUCAUGAAGGUUGUGAAGCAAAACUACCGAGAAAAGUUCUUGUACAGGGCUGCAAAGGACAACUGUUGUGGCACUUGCGAGUCUUGUUGCAUCUCUUAGGCUGGUUGGAGGGUCCUUAGCUGAUCAUACGUUCUUGUUCUUUUGGUGUUGGAGAAGUAAGUCUUUAGAAUUGGAGAAGUAAGUCUAGACUUUCUUUUGAAGACCCAUUUUCAAUUGUUUCGGUAGAUGAGCUACCUCUAACAACAUGUAAAAAAGGAUACAAAUGGUACUAAUGAAUGAAAAGGAUUUAUAUAA
Non-coding RNA from Solanum lycopersicum (tomato), 965 nucleotides. NCBI's taxonomy places the organism in Eukaryota, Viridiplantae, Streptophyta, Magnoliopsida, Solanales, Solanaceae. The record is from RefSeq and is a predicted model, not a curated record.